RNAcentral lists this ribosomal RNA (507 nucleotides) under uncultured bacterium. Its description in RNAcentral is "bacterial SSU rRNA". It matches the Rfam family "Bacterial small subunit ribosomal RNA", at positions 9 to 498 of the family's 1533-position model. The record is from RNAcentral.
GAGUUUGAUCCUGGCUCAGGAUGAACGCUGGCGGCGUGCCUAAUACAUGCAAGUCGAGCGAACAGAUAAGGAGCUUGCUCCUUUGAAGUUAGCGGCGGACGGGUGAGUAACACGUGGGUAACCUACCUAUAAGACUGGGAUAACUUCGGGAAACCGGAGCUAAUACCGGAUAACAUUUAGAACCGCAUGGUUCUAAAGUGAAAGAUGGUUUUGCUAUCACUUAUAGAUGGACCCGCGCCGUAUUAGCUAGUUGGUAAGGUAACGGCUUACCAAGGCGACGAUACGUAGCCGACCUGAGAGGGUGAUCGGCCACACUGGAACUGAGACACGGUCCAGACUCCUACGGGAGGCAGCAGUAGGGAAUCUUCCGCAAUGGGCGAAAGCCUGACGGAGCAACGCCGCGUGAGUGAUGAAGGGUUUCGGCUCGUAAAACUCUGUUAUUAGGGAAGAACAAAUGUGUAAGUAACUGUGCACAUCUUGACGGUACCUAAUCAGAAAGCCACGGCU